RNAcentral lists this ribosomal RNA (440 nucleotides) under uncultured bacterium. RNAcentral's name for it is "bacterial SSU rRNA". It matches the Rfam family "Bacterial small subunit ribosomal RNA", at positions 29 to 517 of the family's 1533-position model. The record is from RNAcentral.
AACGAACGCUGGCGGCAGGCUUAACACAUGCAAGUCGAGCGCCCCGCAAGGGGAGCGGCAGACGGGUGAGUAACGCGUGGGAACGUGCCCUUUGGUUCGGAGCAACUCCGGGAAACUGGAGCUAAUACCGGAUAAGCCCUUCGGGGAAAGAUUUAUCGCCAAAGGAUCGGCCCGCGUCUGAUUAGCUAGUUGGUGAGGUAAUGGCUCACCAAGGCGACGAUCAGUAGCUGGUCUGAGAGGAUGAUCAGCCACACUGGGACUGAGACACGGCCCAGACUCCUACGGGAGGCAGCAGUGGGGAAUAUUGGACAAUGGGCGCAAGCCUGAUCCAGCCAUGCCGCGUGAGUGAUGAAGGCCUUAGGGUUGUAAAGCUCUUUUGUCCGGGAAGAUAAUGACUGUACCGGAAGAAUAAGCCCCGGCUAACUUCGUGCCAGCAGCCG